UCGUGUUCAUCGUUGGAUAAGCGCACGUUGUUGGCCGCACCGCUCUUCGUCGGUACAUACGGAGCCGGCAGCAUCGCUCACCUCCGGCCGUCCGGCAUCCGCAGGCUGCGCACACCCGCGGCUGCUCAUCCGCAUCCCUCCUUCACACAUACAUGAGGACAUCCAAGGCAAGGUGAGAGUUCAUGGCUGCUUCCUUACUCCCUUCUUGAUAUGUUUCGGUGUUGUUGGGGAUAUUACUUAUUGAUAACCCGUCUUAGUUGGGUCGGGUCACCAAAUAAGGCGAUUCAUCUAAGCGUGGUUCGGGACUUGGCCUGGCAAGACCGAAGGUUGUAUGGCGGUUUACAAUUUUUGGAAGGUCUCCAAGCUUUGGAAGAUGACGACUUAGAGAUCGUAAAAGUCACGGUUUUUAGAAAGGAAAGUACCCUUGUAAACCCUAGGGACUUGACUUGUAUAUAAAGGCGAGUCCCAGGGAAGAAGAGGGCAAGUUAGAAA
RNAcentral lists this long non-coding RNA (492 nucleotides) under Hordeum vulgare. RNAcentral describes it as "long non-coding RNA (HVUL_LNC006181)". The record is from RNAcentral. Lineage: Eukaryota; Viridiplantae; Streptophyta; Magnoliopsida; Poales; Poaceae.